UACGUAGGGUGCAAGCGUUGUCCGGAAUUAUUGGGCGUAAAGAGCUCGUAGGCGGUCUGUCGCGUCGGCUGUGAAAAUCCCGAGGCUCAACCUCGGGUCUGCAGUCGAUACGGGCAAACUAGAGUAUUGCAGGGGGAGACUGGAAUUCCUGGUGUAGCGGUGAAAUGCGCAGAUAUCAGGAGGAACACCGGUGGCGAAGGCGGGUCUCUGGGCAAUAACUGACGCUGAGGAGCGAAAGCGUGGGGGAGCGAACAGG
RNAcentral lists this ribosomal RNA (256 nucleotides) under uncultured bacterium. RNAcentral's name for it is "partial 16S ribosomal RNA". It matches the Rfam family "Bacterial small subunit ribosomal RNA", at positions 524 to 776 of the family's 1533-position model. The record is from RNAcentral.